GCUUGGCCCGCUUGCCCGCCGCCGGCGCCCCGCCCGCCGCUCCCUUCCUCUCUCGCCUGAGCGCCGACCGCGGGGCCUGCAACCUCCACCCGGACGCGCCCGGCCCCCAUUUCUCCCGCCCGGCUCCCCGGCUUCGGCGGCGGCGGCCACGCCGUUCCAGCCAGUUCGACAAUCCCUUCCCGUUCCAGAUGAGCUCGCUUCUGCAUAUGUUCUUCGGUGACUCAUCGUCAGAGCAUGGUGGCUCUGUGUCAGGGCGUAAGGUGGUUCGACGGAAGCUCUUUGAUGAUUACUUUACUGAUGACAAGUCCACCGCCAUGGCAGGCGCCGCCGCCAGGAAAAAGCCACUGCGACUAUGCCACGCUGCCACCGCUGAUUCAACAUUGGCCAGGAGGCCCAGGACCCGCGGUGGCCUUGUUGCGCGUCUUGGAGGCGGGAUGGCGUGCCCGUCAUGAACCUGUCUGCUGGUGAAGCACCCAUGACAGGUCGUCAGAAGAGGAAAGCUUGGAUGCAGGCAAAGCUGAAGGCAAAGGAAGUGCAAGUUGGCGGGAACUCAGCAGAAGAGGAGGCGGGAACUGAAGAUGGGCUCGAUCCGGCUGGCCCGGCUAAACGCCGUGAAGCAAAGCCCAACCCGAAGUACCUUGGCCCAGAGUGGGUGCGUUGAAGAAUCUGGCCUAGCAAGUGCUGCCGCCGCUCGAAGAGUAUAUCCGGGGAUCUGAUCGUGGUCUUCAUGAAAAUUCUGGCUUGCAGUAGGUAGCUCUUGGCCGGCUUGCCGGAGAAACAGCAGCGAGCUUCGUCUCGAUUUUGCAUUGUGCUACUCUAUUACUUGAACCUUCUAUUGCAGAAGUAGUAGUAAAACCAUAUCGGUGCCGUUGGUGGGGAGCAAAGCUGUGGACUCAGGCUGAGGCUGUUUUCGAUCGGGAGUUCAUCAAGAUUUGCAGGUCAAGCUCUCUGAUUGCAUUGGGAAAGAAUUAUAUGUGGUUCUAUUAUUCUAUCCCUUGGACCUCGCGUUUGUCUUCCCAACGGAUGUUUUUUUUAGCAAUUCUGCUUGUGUGCGAUCAAAAGCGACAAGACCUCUUGGUAUUGCUUUGCCAUGCCAGGAAUCUCUCGGACUAUUCACCAUUGACAAGGAGGGUUUGAUUCAGUACUCUACCUUUACCUUGCAACUGGCUGUAGUGUGGAUGAGACCUUAAGGAAGUUUUCAUUCUGAUGUUAUGUUAUGCAUCUAAAUACUGCCUGUUGGGAUAAAUAAAUAUUUGUUUUUAGUUGCAAUUUAUUCUAGUUCUAAUCCUAUCGAUCUUUUUCUUUGAUGAGAGUCCCUUCAUUAUGUACAGAAAAACCCGGAGAGGCGCUUCAAUUUCCCCCUUGAGAAAAUUGACCAUUUGAUAUUGGCAGAUUUCUGACAAUUAGCCUUCAGUGUGCCGCGAGAUGCUCCAACAUUGCUUAGGUGUCAUGUAAUUUGUGUGGACUAUAGCAGUGUAUUAUUUUGCAUCACUUGUCAAAUUUUUCCUCCUGAAUUGAAAUUGUAUUGAACCAUGUUGAAUGGGUAGGAGAUAGCCAUG
Molecule: long non-coding RNA, 1559 nt
Organism: Setaria italica (foxtail millet)
Lineage: Eukaryota; Viridiplantae; Streptophyta; Magnoliopsida; Poales; Poaceae
Exons: 4
Source: RefSeq, a predicted model, not a curated record